Molecule: long non-coding RNA, 284 nt
Filed under: Nicotiana benthamiana
Lineage: Eukaryota; Viridiplantae; Streptophyta; Magnoliopsida; Solanales; Solanaceae
Description: long non-coding RNA (NBEN_LNC041720)
Source: RNAcentral
UCUUGGUUGAAAUUGACCACCAUUGCAGAGAAAAUCUCAAAGAUUUUCGAGAGCUCUAUUUUCUCAUCUGCAAUGAUGUGUUGUAUGCGUGAACGUGGUACAAAAGUGCGUCCCUCUGUGGCCUGUGGGUGUGUGUGUAAGUACAGAAAAAGAGAAAAGGAAAGAGAGUGGAUGAAGAAUCUUACAUACAUAGGGAUAUAUAGUAUAUCUAAGAGCACGACAAUUUGCCAGGAAAGCUCCUGAUGGCGACAUUGAUGAUCAUGACAAACAUCGCUGCAACUUUU